This 292-nucleotide ribosomal RNA is filed under the name uncultured Acidobacteriota bacterium. RNAcentral describes it as "uncultured Acidobacteria bacterium partial 16S ribosomal RNA". Lineage: Bacteria; Pseudomonadati; Acidobacteriota. The record is from RNAcentral.
GGACUACACGGGUAUCUAAUCCCGUUUGCUCCCCUAGCUUUCGCGCCUCAGCGUCAGUGUCGGUCCAGGAAGCCGCCUUCGCCACCGGUGUUCCUCCGGAUAUCUACGCAUUUCACCGCUACACCCGGAAUUCCGCUUCCCUCUCCCGAACUCAAGCCUCGCAGUUUCCCGUGCCGUUCCCCAGUUGAGCCGGGGGAUUUCACACGGGACUUACGAGACCGCCUACGCGCCCUUUACGCCCAGUAAUUCCGAACAACGCUUGCCACCUCUGUAUUACCGCGGCUGCUGGCAC